Molecule: ribosomal RNA, 400 nt
Filed under: Dexia fulvifera
Lineage: Eukaryota; Metazoa; Arthropoda; Insecta; Diptera; Tachinidae
Description: partial 16S rRNA
Source: RNAcentral
GGCCGCAGUAUAUUGACUGUGCAAAGGUAGCAUAAUCAUUAGUCUUUUAAUUGAAGGCUGGAAUGAAUGGUUGGACGAAAUAUUAACUGUUUCAUUAGUAUUUAUUUUAAAAUUUUAUUUUUUAGUUAAAAAGCUAAAAUUUAUAUAAAAGACGAGAAGACCCUAUAAAUCUUUAUAUUUAUUGUUAUUAAUUUUAUAUAGAAAUUUUAUAAUUUAGUAUAAAUAAAUAUUUUAUUGGGGUGAUAUUAAAAUUUAAUUAACUUUUAAUAAUUUCAUCAUAAAUUAAUGAAUAUUUGAUCUAUUAUUAUUGAUUAAAAGAAUAAGUUACUUUAGGGAUAACAGCGUAAUUUUUUUGGAGAGUUCUUAUUAAUAAAAAAGAUUGCGACCUCGAUGUUGGAUU